GUCUACGGCCAUACCACCCUGAACGCGCCUGAUCUCAUCUCAGCUCGGAAGCUAAGCAGGGUCGGGCCUGGUUAGUACUUGCACGGGAGUGAAAUAUCAAUCGAUCUAAAAU
Molecule: ribosomal RNA, 112 nt
Filed under: Octodon degus (degu)
Lineage: Eukaryota; Metazoa; Chordata; Mammalia; Rodentia; Octodontidae
Source: RNAcentral